AACGAUCACGUACGGGAGGACACGCUCGGCGAGGCUGUGGAUGUGGUACGACGAAUAAUAGCUUGUUUCCUUCUGGGUACCCGAGGAAGCCUCUUCGGGACAUCACUGAUGUUGUUUGUGCCAUUGAGAGGAGGA
This is a long non-coding RNA of Telopea speciosissima, 135 nucleotides long. RefSeq lists it as uncharacterized. The record is from RefSeq and is a predicted model, not a curated record. The transcript is spliced from 4 exons. Lineage: Eukaryota; Viridiplantae; Streptophyta; Magnoliopsida; Proteales; Proteaceae.